UCGGGAAUUUUGGGCAAUGGGCGAAAGCCUGACCCAGCAACGCCGCGUGAGGGAUGAAGUAUUUCGGUAUGUAAACCUCGAAAGAAUGGGAAGAAUAAAUGACGGUACCAUUUAUAAGCUCCGGCUAACUUCGUGCCAGCAGCCGCGGUAAUACGAAGGGUGCAAGCGUUACUCGGAAUUACUGGGCGUAAAGCGUGCGUAGGUGGUUGUUUAAGUCUGAUGUGAAAGCCCUGGGCUCAACCUGGGAAUGGCAUUGGAAACUGGGCAGCUAGAGUGCGGUAGAGGGUAGUGGAAUUCCCGGUGUAGCAGUGAAAUGCGUAGAGAUCGGGAGGAACAUCUGUGGCGAAGGCGACUGCCUGGACCAGCACUGACACUGAGGCACGAAAGCGUGGGGAGCAAACA
Molecule: ribosomal RNA, 402 nt
Filed under: uncultured bacterium
Lineage: Bacteria
Description: bacterial SSU rRNA
Rfam family: Bacterial small subunit ribosomal RNA
Source: RNAcentral